UCCGUAGGUGAACCUGCGGAAGGAUCAUUAUCGAUGGCCGCGCCCGUGAGCGCCCUGGUGCACGAUCGGCCGGCCUCUGAUUACACCCCUACUUUACGAGCACCUUUCGUUCUCCUUCGGCGGGGCAACCCGCCGCUGGAACCACAACAACCCUUUUUUUGCAUCUAGCAUUACCUGUUCUGAUAAAAAAACAAUCGUAACAACUUUCAACAAUGGAUCUCUUGGCUCUGGCAUCGAUGAAGAACGCAGCGAAAUGCGAUAAGUAGUGUGAAUUGCAGAAUUCAGUGAAUCAUCGAAUCUUUGAACGCACAUUGCGCCCCUUGGUAUUCCAUGGGGCAUGCCUGUUCGAGCGUCAUCUACACCCUCAAGCUCUGCUUGGUGUUGGGCGUCUGUCCCGCCUCUGCGCGCGGACUCGCCCCAAAGGCAUUGGCAGCGGUCCACGGCCCCUCUCGCGCAGCACAUUGCGCUUCUCGAGGCGGUCCGGCCCGCAUCCACGAAGCCCACAUUACCGUCUUUGACCUCGGAUCAGGUAGGGAUACCCGCUGAACUUAAGCAUAUCAAUAAGCGGAGGA
Molecule: ribosomal RNA, 572 nt
Filed under: Pleosporales sp. 21 KB-2015
Lineage: Eukaryota; Fungi; Ascomycota; Dothideomycetes; Pleosporales
Description: eukaryotic LSU rRNA
Rfam family: 5.8S ribosomal RNA (bases 202-355)
Source: RNAcentral